This 218-nucleotide long non-coding RNA is filed under the name Elaeis guineensis (African oil palm). Its description in RNAcentral is "long non-coding RNA (EGUI_LNC074295)". Lineage: Eukaryota; Viridiplantae; Streptophyta; Magnoliopsida; Arecales; Arecaceae. The record is from RNAcentral.
AUUAGUAUAUGAAAGAGUUCCUAUGCAACCAGCUUAGUAUUCGAACCUAUGAAGUCACACACAAAAGUCAAACAAUAUAAGAAAGAAUUGAUCAGAUAUUUAUAUAUUCAAUUUAAAAAUAUGAUACUUGAUUGAAUAUAUAGAUUAACUUGAUUAAAAAUUAAGUUAUAGAUCAUACAGAAUUAAAUACUGACUAUGUUCAGCUAGCACUGUGCAUG